CUGGCAUCUUACAUCAAGUGAUCCCAGAAAACAUCACAGAAAUUCAUAAAGAAUAUUCUGUAUUUAAGAGAAAGUGCUCACUGGAGCUCUCCUGGAUCCAUGAUUGUGCUUGAAAGACAGCAGACCGCAUACUGACUCUUCCACCCUGGGCAGGGUGAGCCUUCCCCAUCUCACGCUCUCACGGGGCUGGGUGAGGUGUCCAGCUUGGGUUAGAGAGAGCACAGGUGCUUCUGUGACUUGGUGCCUUUUACUGCAAAGCAAGGUUUCCGCUCCUUUCUUCAGAGGAUGCCAGUAUUGAGAAGGGAGCUGCUGAGCCACUGGAGGCCAUCAGAGGAAGAGUCAGGGUCAUGGUGCCCAUACCUACCUGCAGCCUAGAUAUGUGAUGGACGGAGGCCAGACACCGAGGCAGGCUGUGUGGUUGGCUUGCUUUUACCCACACCUCUAGUACAGCCCACAGUGGCGAUUCUCAAGGCAGAAACAGUUCAUCGGGGACCAUUUACAAGGUGAGUCUUCCGUUGUGUGGGCUAGAAACAUGGCCA
Molecule: long non-coding RNA, 539 nt
Filed under: Mus musculus (house mouse)
Lineage: Eukaryota; Metazoa; Chordata; Mammalia; Rodentia; Muridae
Description: predicted gene 45781
Source: RNAcentral